CUAGCUAACAGUUUCUGAGCCCCUCUCCAGGAUGGAGGCGGAGCCUCACUGCAGCUCAGCUCAUGUCACGGAAGGCGGAGCCAUCAAGGACCACAGCCAAUCAGCAGGCACGCUGGUGCAGCCACGGGCCAAUGGGGCAGCAGCACAUCACAGCUCAGAUGAAGCUCCGCCCACUCUGCCUCACCGGUCGGCGGAUGCCAGCAGCAGUGACGAGUCCCUGAUGGACAGCUCCUGCACCAAUGACGUGUCCCGCCUGCGAUCCGGGCAUCCGUCCUCUGGGACCUGCACACAGAAAGCCGCCGCCGGUUCUUCGGGGUCGUCUCCUCCCAUCUGUGCUCCUCCGUCUCCGUCCUUCAACCGCCUUGGUCCUCCUCCUCUUCCUCCUCCAUCUUCCUUGCGGUCGUCCACCUGUAGCGGGCAUCUUCAUCAUCAUCAUCAUCACCGCCAUGACCAACAGAGGACUAAUCAGAAGCGCCCGUCCUCUACUAAAAGCCACGCCUCCUUCAAGUUGGACGCCGCCCACAUCAAGGAGGCUGCUGGAGACGACUGCUGUGUCCGCUGUCUCCUGUCCUGCCUGUACUGCGAGCUGCUGUCCCUGUGCGCGGCGCUGGGGGAGUGCGUGGCGUGCGGAGUGGGCGGGGCCGGCUGCUGCGACUGCUGCUGCUGCUGCGUGGAGGCGGCGGCGGCGGCGUGCUCGGAGGAGGCGUGCCAGGCGGCGCUGGACUGCGGCGUGCUGGAGGGAGGCUGCGGCUCGUCCGACUGCCUGGAGGUCUGCCUGGAGUGCUGCGCCAUCUGCUUCCCCUCCUGACGGCCAAUCAGAGGCCGGCGCCACACAGACCAAAAGCGGUUUCAGCAUUUUGAUUUUCACUGAAGAAACAGUUUUAUUUCUAUUUGAAAUGAAGAAAUUUCACAUCAAAACAGAAACGGUUUGUUUUUCUGGUCUUUUUUUUUUGGCGACGAAGAAAACUUUUGCUAUAGUUCAACUGCCUGAUAAUAAAGCUACAGGUGCUGAUAAUAUCACUGCAGAGCGCCUGAAGUAUGCUACACCUGAAGCUGCUGUACUUCUGGCCUUAUGCUUCACUGGCUCCAUGAUCCAUGGGCUACUACCUGCCUCUCUAUUGUCUGUUACGCUCGUGCGUCAUUAAGGAUAAAGCUGGCAAAGUUGGGAGUGUGGAUGAUUACAGACCGAUAGCUUUAGCCUGUGUCUUAUCUAAAGUCCUUGAGAAAAUAUUGCUGGGUCGAAUGUGUCAAUGUAUAAGUACUACAGAUAAUCAGUUUGGAUUUAAAACAAAGAUGGGAACUGAUCUAUGCAUCUACAGCUUAAAAGACAGCACAGGUGUAUUUAAGACAAAAUUCCUCUGUGCUAGUAGGAUUUAUCGACGCGUCGAAAGCGUUUGACAGAGUGAACCACCGGAAGCUUUUUGAUAAAUUAAAACAAAGAAAGGUGCCUGAGACCGUAAUAAGGAUUUUGUCUCACUGGUACUCUAAUCAGAGGAUGCAGGUGAAUUGGGGAAGUACAAUCAGCCUCUUUUGGUGUCAGUAAUGCGGUGUGCCAGGGAGGGCUGCUGUCCCCGGUUUUAUUUAACCUCUACAUGGAUGAGUUGUCCCAGCGACUGAAUGACUGUAGAACAGGAUGCAUGAUUGGUAACACUCUGAUCAAUCAUUUCAUGUACGCUGACGAUCUGGCUAUUCUCUCUCCAAGCAGUGCUGGCUUUCAGCAACUUUUGAAUGUUUGUUCUGAUUAUGGACUCAAAUACAAUGUUCAGUAUAACGCCAAAAAGUCUGUUGUACUAAUCUGCCGGACUAAAGCAGACAAGAACCUUUGCUUUCCAGACUUUCUGUCCGACCAAAAGCUGAGUGUAUGCAGUCAAACAAAACAUCUGGGUCAUUUCAUAACAGACCGGCUCUGUGAUGAUGAUGACAUCGCUCGCCAAAGACGUGUACUGUACGCCCAGGCCAAUACAUUGGUUCGGAGAUUUCACAUGUGCACAGAAACCGUAAAAAUCAAACUUUUAGGACUUACUGUGCCCCCCUGUAUACAGCCCCUUUGUGGUGCAAUUAUAAGAAGAGUGCACUACAAAAGCUUAGGGUGGCCCAUAGCGAUGCUUUUCGUAUUUUACUGAAGAAGCCCAGGUCAAGCAGCGCAAGCCUGUUGUUCUGUCAGACUCACGUGAACCCUUUCCACGCUCUCAUGAGGAAUCUGAUGUAUAGAUUCAUGUGCCGUCUGAAUGACUGUAACAACACUCUUGUCCAGGCUGGUGACCCCCAGCAUUAGUGCUGUGCGUUAUCAGUCAGCUCUGUGGAAGCACUGGUACAAGUGCCUUUUAUGAUUGUUUGUGUACUGUCUGUUUUUCUUUCUUUUAGUGGGCCAAGAGCCUGUCAGAUAAAGAUAAUCUUUUCAGGAGUUUAAGAAUCUUUAGGAACGAUUUAUUCAAAUAAUCUGAGAGAAACUUGAACAAUCGACUUAAUAUUUAAUGAGCCCAAUUAAUUCAGAGGUGUCUCAUUUCAGGAAGGUGUGGCGUUUCCACGGCAACCUGAGAAAAGAUAACGUUACUUUGAUCUAAUCUAAAAGCCAGAACGGAUCCAUCAUUGAGAAAUCAAGCUGGAUUCAAACAAACUGACUAAAAGAAGAAAUAACAGAAAAAUAAAACUUUCAACAAAAUAAAUUGGUUUACUGUGAACAUGCCGACGUUUCCCAUCAUGCCUUUGGGUCCAGUGAUUGACAGCUCACCUGGGUGUGUGUGUGUGUGUGUGUGUGUGUGCAUGUGUGUGUAUGUGUGUGUGUGUG
Salarias fasciatus (jewelled blenny) is the source of this 2788-nucleotide long non-coding RNA. The record is from Ensembl. Lineage: Eukaryota; Metazoa; Chordata; Actinopteri; Blenniiformes; Blenniidae.